Molecule: ribosomal RNA, 465 nt
Filed under: Vreelandella stevensii
Lineage: Bacteria; Pseudomonadati; Pseudomonadota; Gammaproteobacteria; Oceanospirillales; Halomonadaceae
Description: partial 16S ribosomal RNA
Rfam family: Bacterial small subunit ribosomal RNA
Source: RNAcentral
CCUACGGGUGGCUGCAGUGGGGAAUAUUGGACAAUGGGGGGAACCCUGAUCCAGCCAUGCCGCGUGUGUGAAGAAGGCCCUCGGGUUGUAAAGCACUUUCAGUGAGGAAGAACGCCUAGUGGUUAAUACCCAUCAGGAAAGACAUCACUCACAGAAGAAGCACCGGCUAACUCCGUGCCAGCAGCCGCGGUAAUACGGAGGGUGCGAGCGUUAAUCGGAAUUACUGGGCGUAAAGCGCGCGUAGGUGGCUUGAUAAGCCGGUUGUGAAAGCCCCGGGCUCAACCUGGGAACGGCAUCCGGAACUGUCAAGCUAGAGUGCAGGAGAGGAAGGUAGAAUUCCCGGUGUAGCGGUGAAAUGCGUAGAGAUCGGGAGGAAUACCAGUGGCGAAGGCGGCCUUCUGGACUGACACUGACACUGAGGUGCGAAAGCGUGGGUAGCAAACAGGAUUAGAUACCCCAGUAGUC